CCCAGACUCCUACGGGAGGCAGCAGUGGGGAAUAUUGCACAAUGGGGGAAACCCUGAUGCAGCGACGCCGCGUGAAGGAAGAGGUAUUUCGGUAUGUAAACUUCUAUCAGCAGGGAAGAAAAUGACGGUACCUGACUAAGAAGCCCCGGCUAACUACGUGCCAGCAGCCGCGGUAAUACGUAGGGGGCAAGCGUUAUCCGGAUUUACUGGGUGUAAAGGGAGCGUAGGCGGCGAUGCAAGUCAGAAGUGAAAGCCCGGGGCUCAACUCCGGGACUGCUUUUGAAACUGUAUGGCUAGAUUGCAGGAGAGGCAAGUGGAAUUCCUAGUGUAGCGGUGAAAUGCGUAGAUAUUAGGAGGAACACCAGUGGCGAAGGCGGCUUGCUGGACUGUAAAUGACGCUGAGGCUCGAAAGCGUGGGGAGCAAACAGGAUUAGAUACCCUGGUA
This 445-nucleotide ribosomal RNA is filed under the name uncultured bacterium. Its description in RNAcentral is "bacterial SSU rRNA". It matches the Rfam family "Bacterial small subunit ribosomal RNA", at positions 330 to 792 of the family's 1533-position model. The record is from RNAcentral.